This 40-nucleotide transfer RNA is filed under the name Metarhizium sp. RMK-2011b. RNAcentral describes it as "partial tRNA-Trp". Lineage: Eukaryota; Fungi; Ascomycota; Sordariomycetes; Hypocreales; Clavicipitaceae. The record is from RNAcentral.
AAAGAGUGUAGUUUAAUUGGCAAAAUAGGAAGCUUCAACC